Molecule: ribosomal RNA, 253 nt
Filed under: uncultured bacterium
Lineage: Bacteria
Description: partial 16S ribosomal RNA
Rfam family: Bacterial small subunit ribosomal RNA
Source: RNAcentral
GACAGAGGGGGCCAGCGUUGUCCGGAGUUACUGGGCGUAAAGCGCACGCAGGCGGCGGCUUAAGUGUCGUGUGAAAGCUCCCGGCUCAACCGGGAGAGGCCAUGGCAGACUGGGUCGCUGGAGCGCCGGAGAGGUCUCUCGAAUUGCUGGUGUAGUGGUGAAAUGCGUAGAGAUCAGCAGGAAGACCAAGGGGGAAGCCAGGAGACUGGCCGGCAGCUGACGCUGAGGUGCGAUGGCGUGGGGAGCAAACCGG